RNAcentral lists this ribosomal RNA (505 nucleotides) under uncultured bacterium. Its description in RNAcentral is "partial 16S ribosomal RNA". It matches the Rfam family "Bacterial small subunit ribosomal RNA", at positions 28 to 507 of the family's 1533-position model. The record is from RNAcentral.
GACGAACGCUGGCGGCGUGCCUAAUACAUGCAAGUAGAACGCACAGUUUAUACCGUAGCUUGCUACACCAUAAACUGUGAGUUGCGAACGGGUGAGUAACGCGUAGGUAACCUGCCUGGUAGCGGGGGAUAACUAUUGGAAACGAUAGCUAAUACCGCAUAAUAUUGAUUAUUGCAUGAUAAUUGAUUGAAAGAUGCUAUUGCACCACUACCAGAUGGACCUGCGUUGUAUUAGCUAGUAGGUGAGGUAACGGCUCACCUAGGCGACGAUACAUAGCCGACCUGAGAGGGUGAUCGGCCACACUGGGACUGAGACACGGCCCAGACUCCUACGGGAGGCAGCAGUAGGGAAUCUUCGGCAAUGGACGAAAGUCUGACCGAGCAACGCCGCGUGAGUGAAGAAGGUUUUCGGAUCGUAAAGCUCUGUUGUAAGAGAAGAACGGGUGUGAGAGUGGAAAGUUCACACUGUGACGGUAUCUUACCAGAAAGGGACGGCUAACUACGUG